GGGAACGGGUGUUGGCUGCUCUGGUGCUUGCUGCUCUUGGAGUUGCCUACUCUGUCUGCGUCUGCUCUGGCUCUGCAUCUCCGGGGUUGGCUGCUCUGGCACUUUUGUGCUCUGGCUCUACUACUCUGCUCUGCUGCUCUACUCGGUGCAGCCUUGCCCGCAGGGAUGGCUUGCUCUUCCUUGUAUUGUUUUGGCUUUGCGUUGUUUGCUCCCGUUUUUGCAAGGGUUUAGUUGUUUUUUCAGUUUUUUUGGGGUUUUCUUUUUUGAGGCUCAUCUCCUUGUUUGCGCCUGUGCUCUCAAGGUUUUUUCCAAACUUUUUUUUUCAAUAAACCAUUUCAGCCUAAAGAUUUCUUCUUGAUUUUUUUUUUCCUUUCUUCAUUUACUAUGCUCUCCAAUCUCGCCAUCCUUGAUGAAGCCGGCGAUUAAGUCAGGCAACAUUUAUCCAUGCGCUUAAAAAUCAUCAUCUUUGCGAAUAAUAC
This 479-nucleotide long non-coding RNA is filed under the name Salvia miltiorrhiza (redroot sage). RNAcentral describes it as "long non-coding RNA (SMIL_LNC011819)". Lineage: Eukaryota; Viridiplantae; Streptophyta; Magnoliopsida; Lamiales; Lamiaceae. The record is from RNAcentral.